GUAAACCAUAAAAUCAAUAACAUCAUUCUCUCUAUAUGUCUCUCUCUCUCAAUGUGUAAAAAGAAAGAAUGGUGCAUGAAUGUUGUUAUUUUGCAAUUCCGCUCCUUCAGGGAUAUCCGCAACAACAAUGGUUUCCAUGACAACUCCCUUUACGUAUAUGUUCGUCUAGACAAGCCUGAACGCAAGCAUGAUUAUCGUUUGGACACGCCUCCAGUGGAAAACAUCUCAAAAAUCCUAUACCUUCAUCGGGAAUGAAUUUUUUUUCAUUUGUCGCGCCACCUGCAAUCAAUAUAGAGCGUUAUUAAACUCUUAAAUUCAAACCCGAACACAUACGCAUCAAAUGUCUCUAGUUAUCAAUUUUGAUGUACUUGUGAGACAAUUACAGUAAUUAAUAACCUUUCUAGACAUGCCUACCGUUAUUAUAUUUUUUUAAAAAUUAAAUAAUAUUGGAGAAAAGAAAAAUUUUAUUAAUCAAAGUGGCAUAAAUGAUCAUUUUAACAUUGUUACCAUGAAAAUUUAGUCUUGAUUCCUUAUAAAGAUUAUAAGCCUUAGCUACCACUGAG
Molecule: long non-coding RNA, 563 nt
Filed under: Trifolium pratense (red clover)
Lineage: Eukaryota; Viridiplantae; Streptophyta; Magnoliopsida; Fabales; Fabaceae
Description: long non-coding RNA (TPRA_LNC010083)
Source: RNAcentral